This 107-nucleotide small nucleolar RNA is filed under the name Olea europaea subsp. europaea. RNAcentral describes it as "Plant small nucleolar RNA R71". It matches the Rfam family "Plant small nucleolar RNA R71". Rfam says of the family: R71 is a member of the C/D box family of snoRNAs containing the C (UGAUGA) and D (CUGA) box motifs. Multiple nearly identical copies of this snoRNA have been identified in Arabidopsis, and it is thought to function as a 2'-O-ribose methylation guide for 18S ribosomal RNA. The record is from Rfam by way of RNAcentral. Lineage: Eukaryota; Viridiplantae; Streptophyta; Magnoliopsida; Lamiales; Oleaceae.
AUCCCAUGAUGUGGACACUUUCGUAGCAUAUUCUUGAACCUAUUCCAGGCUUCAUCAAAAUUCUCUGAGUCACCUUGGUGGAAGGCAGAAAUGUUGUGCUUGAGCUU